UACACACCGCCCGUCGCACCUACCGAUUGAAUGAUUCGGUGAAAAUUCUGGACUGKGGCUCGGACGCCUUCGGGCGACCUUGCUGUGGGAAGUUAUUUAAACCUCAUCAUUUAGAGGAAGGUGAAGUCGUAACAAGGUUUCCGUAGGUGAACCUGCGGAAGGAUCAUUACCACACCCUCAAAUA
RNAcentral lists this ribosomal RNA (184 nucleotides) under Synura petersenii. RNAcentral describes it as "partial 18S ribosomal RNA". It matches the Rfam family "Eukaryotic small subunit ribosomal RNA". The record is from RNAcentral. Lineage: Eukaryota; Synurophyceae; Synurales; Mallomonadaceae.